RNAcentral lists this ribosomal RNA (253 nucleotides) under uncultured bacterium. Its description in RNAcentral is "partial 16S ribosomal RNA". It matches the Rfam family "Bacterial small subunit ribosomal RNA", at positions 524 to 776 of the family's 1533-position model. The record is from RNAcentral.
UACGUAGGGUGCGAGCGUUAAUCGGAAUUACUGGGCGUAAAGCGUGCGCAGGCGGUUUUGUAAGUCAGAUGUUAAAUCCCCGGGCCUAACCUUGGAACUGCGUUUGAAACUACAAGGCUAGAGUGUGGCAGAGGGGGGUGGAAUUCCACGUGUAGCAGUGAAAUGCGUAGAGAUGUGGAGGAACACCGAUGGCGAAGGCAGCCCCCUGGGUUAACACUGACGCUCAGGCACGAAAGCGUGGGGAGCAAACAGG